Molecule: non-coding RNA, 93 nt
Organism: Paramuricea clavata
Lineage: Eukaryota; Metazoa; Cnidaria; Anthozoa; Malacalcyonacea; Plexauridae
Source: the annotation of a GenBank genome assembly
GAAUGAUUUCUUUGACUGCACAAAUGUGAUUUCUUUUACUGACAUGUUUAGUCAUUGACUUCACAUUUGUGCAGUCAAAGAAAUCAUUCAUCA